This is a small nuclear RNA of Ochotona princeps (American pika), 132 nucleotides long. Its record names the gene U2. It matches the Rfam family "U2 spliceosomal RNA". From Rfam's summary of the family: U2 is a small nuclear RNA (snRNA) component of the spliceosome (involved in pre-mRNA splicing). Complementary binding between U2 snRNA (in an area lying towards the 5' end but 3' to hairpin I) and the branchpoint sequence (BPS) of the intron results the bulging out of an unpaired adenosine, on the BPS, which initiates a nucleophilic attack at the intronic 5' splice site, thus starting the first of two transesterification reactions that mediate splicing. Lineage: Eukaryota; Metazoa; Chordata; Mammalia; Lagomorpha; Ochotonidae. The record is from Ensembl.
AUCGCUUCUCAGCCUUUUGGCUAAGAUCAAGUGUAGUAUCUGUUCUUAUCAGUAAACACUUAGGUUUUAAAAACUGAAAAUGCAACAGUUAGGAGAGUAAUAUGAUAGGACAAUAUGUAUUACUCAAUAUUU